UUUUCUGAUUACUAGCCAAAUCAUAUUUUAUUUUUGCAUAUAUGACUCUAUUCAACCAUGUAAUUCUUCUCUCUUUAGCAUUUCACUUCCCCGGAACCUCCCUAUUCUCCUUUUAAUUAGACUCACUCCUAAUCAUAUGGAGCAGUGUCUUAUGCUUUUAUAUUGCUAGUUCAAACCACAUCUUUAAAAUAUUAUCUCUAGAUGGUUUGACUACAUUUAAACACUGCGUCCUAGCCCAAAACAAUUAAAAAUGCUUUAGUCUAAAUCUCUGAGUGAUAAAUUUUAAGGUGGAAACAAAACACACGUAACUUCUAAUUAUCUUUGCAUGGAUUAGCAAAGAAAUAUUGUUUAAAUGUGAAUAAUUGAAGUAGAGGGGAAAUGAGUUCAUCCUGAAACACUGUCUCUGAAGAUAGCAUUUUACUCCACCCUUCAGUGGCUGUAACUUUGCCUAAAUUAAACAUAAUGAGUAAAAAACUAUUCAGGAAGUAAAGCAGAAAGUAAGAGAGAAGAAAAAUUCAUUCGUUAUUUUCAGUCCUCAAUUACAGGUUUACUAAUCUAGCUGUAUCAUAUUGCUGAUGUUGCUUGAUUCAUUAUAAGUGAACCACAGCAAAUUUUCUCCUACUCAGAAUAGAAUUGUUACCUUAACCCGAAAAAAGAUGACGUGAGAUGCAGCGACCGUCAAGCAUUGGAUAACAGCUUUAAAAAUGUUUCCAACUGUACAUUCCUGAGCACUAGUGCUAAAAAAAAAAAAAGCAAAAAAAUUCUAGAAGAAAACCUAGGCAAAACCAUUCAGGACAUAAGCAUAGGCAAGGUCUUCAUGACUAAAACACCAAAAGCAUUGGCAACAAAAGUCAAAAAAUGUUUUUUCAAAAUGGAGCAUUACCUUAACUAACCUUUGUGAAGAAAGAGCUUUUUACAUUGAUAUAAAUUGAAAUUACCACCAUCAUAAAUUUUUGAAUUAGUAAAGAAUAAAUUAACAUGCAAUUAUCUACUAUAUUAGCCCAUUCUCACACUGCUGAUAAAGACAUACCUGAGACUGGCAAUUUACAAAAGAAAGAGGUUUAAUGGACUCACAGUUCCACAUGACUGUGGAGGCCUCACAACCAUGGCAGAAGGUGAAAAGCACGUCUCAUGUGGCAGUAGACAAGAGAAGAGAAUGUGAGCCAAGCAAAAGGGGUUUCCCAUUAUAAAACAUCAGAUCUCAUGAGACUUAUUCACUACCAUGAGAACAGUGCGGUGGAAACAACCCCAUGAUUCAAUUAUCUCCCACAGGUUUCGUCCCACAACAUCAGGGAAUUGUGAAAGCUACAAUUCAAAAUGAGAUUAUGAGAUUUGGGUAGGGACACAGCCAGAUUAUAUUAUCUGCCAUUCAAAUUCAUACUUCUUAAUAAUUACAUUUAAAAGAAAAGCAACAACUUUUAGGAAAAAGCCACACUUU
RNAcentral lists this long non-coding RNA (1438 nucleotides) under Callithrix jacchus (white-tufted-ear marmoset). Its description in RNAcentral is "lncRNA (ENSCJAG00000070053.1)". The record is from RNAcentral. Lineage: Eukaryota; Metazoa; Chordata; Mammalia; Primates; Cebidae.